AGUGAACGCUGGCGGUAGGCCUAACACAUGCAAGUCGAACGGCAGCACAGGAGAGCUUGCUCUCUGGGUGGCGAGUGGCGGACGGGUGAGGAAUACAUCGGAAUCUACUCUGUCGUGGGGGAUAACGUAGGGAAACUUACGCUAAUACCGCAUACGACCUACGGGUGAAAGCAGGGGACCUUCGGGCCUUGCGCGAUUGAAUGAGCCGAUGUCGGAUUAGCUAGUUGGCGGGGUAAAGGCCCACCAAGGCGACGAUCCGUAGCUGGUCUGAGAGGAUGAUCAGCCAAACUGGAACGGCGACACGGUCCAGACUCCUACGGGAGGCAGCAGUGGGGAAUAUUGGACAAUGGGCGCAAGCCUGAUCCAGCCAUGCCGCGUGGGUGAAGAAGGCCUUCGGGUUGUAAAGCCCUUUUGUUGGGAAAGAAAUCCAGCUGGCUAAUACCCGGUUGGGAUGACGGUACCCAAAGAAUAAGCACCGGCUAACUUCGUGCCAGCAGCCGCGGUAA
This 506-nucleotide ribosomal RNA is filed under the name uncultured bacterium. Its description in RNAcentral is "partial 16S ribosomal RNA". It matches the Rfam family "Bacterial small subunit ribosomal RNA", at positions 29 to 523 of the family's 1533-position model. The record is from RNAcentral.